Molecule: long non-coding RNA, 2454 nt
Organism: Canis lupus familiaris (dog)
Lineage: Eukaryota; Metazoa; Chordata; Mammalia; Carnivora; Canidae
Exons: 4
Source: RefSeq, a predicted model, not a curated record
GAUGCCAGAGCACAGGCUCCGGGCCCUGGACGACCGAGUAGAAAAGACGGGAACGGGCCCUGCCCCCGAGUCUGCAGAAGGCCGCGGUGUUCCGGAAUCGGGGAAGGCCCACCUUCCACUGGUUUCCCCCGACUUCUGACCAAUGUAACCUUAUGCCCCUAGGCCUGCUUUCCUCCGCCUCCAGGCUCUCUUUUCACAGUACGACGCAUAAUCUCGCAAAAGUCCUUUUCUUUAGAACAUAAGGUAUGAGCUGACUAUAAAGUCUUUGAAAAUUCAGAACAGAAAACACAGAUUAACCUGCGGUCACGGCAGCGCCACCCCCGUAAGUAACCGCUCUUGACACUUCUUUUGAUGGCUCCAGAAAUCUGGGAGAAGUGGCUCCACUUGCGGCUGCCUGUCAGCAGCAGAUCAAUAAGGCCCGGCCGCCACCGUCCUGGAGACUGUUGCUACUUGGAGUCCCGCGGAGCCACGGCGGUGCUGACUGCAGCCUGCUAUGUUUGAGGAGGGUGUGCCCUCACCACAUCUCCUGGGGCCUUGCUGACCCUGCCCUACCAGACGGACGCAGGACCAUGGGAUACUCACUCAUCCACCGUGAAGCACACCAGGCGCCGGGGGAGGCCGUGGGCCCGCUGCUUCUCCAGGGCCUCCCGCCCCAGGAAGGGGACAGCCGACUUGAGCUUGCAGGUGAAGGCCAAGCCUGCCUCCAGGGGACUGUCAUCUGGGCGCAGGUCGGCAUGCCAGUGCCGGUAGCCUGUGGGGAGGAGAACCCGGGCUCAACACCCAGCAGAGGUGGGGGACAGGCUCAUCCGAAGACCCCAGGGGUGUAUGUCAUCCUUGCUGCCGAAGGUCCCCUGGGCAAGCCCUCAGGAACAGACGCCCCUUCCGACCUCUGCACUGCCCGUUGAGGCGCUGGAGAGGCACCUGGGCAGCACUGCCCAGAUAUUCUUCAAACCUCCUGGGGAAGCCCAAGCACUGAGUCCAAAUUCAGCUCCACAAGGCCGGCUCCCUGGCCCCUGCGAGAAGUGUCCCGGGGCAGGAUUCCGGGACGCAUGGGGUGCCCACUGACCACGCCCUCAGCUGCACCCCAUCUUCGAAUGCUCCCGCCCUUGUGGAGCUCAUCUCCCACCUACCCCUGGCCCCCAGGGCUCCUGGGGACUCCCAGCUCCCUGAGGCAGGACGGGGUCCUCCCAGCAGGCCACACAGCAGGCAGCAGCAACCUGCAGAGAGUGGCAGGGAGGAGGAGGGAUGAGACGACGGGCGUGUGACACUGCCAGGUGCCGUGUCGGGAUUCUGCAUAAAUAUGCUCCAGCUGGGCACUGACCAGGACAGUAAAAUUCACUGCAGGACAGUAAAUCUGUGUGUUUGGAGGGUUGGGUGUUGUACAGAGUGAGGCAGUGCCCCGGCCCUGGGCGCUGGUUCUCAGGGUCCCCUGCAGGCGGAUGAGCUUCCAGCCGGCAGGAGAGACAAAGACGUCUCUGCUGACAACCCCAGGACAUGUGUUCCAAGGUAGCCAGGCAGCAGGGAGAUGGGGGACCCCCGUCCAAGGGCAGAGCCCCUGCCUGCCCAGCACAGGCGUGCUUGCUCCCCAGCCCAGAGGCCACCAUCCUCUCCACCACCUUGUCUUCCUCACAUUCGUUUUGCCAAGACUCCAUCUCCCUGCUGUGAACGCCUGGGACCUUCCACAUCCCCAUGCUUGCCGCCUGGGGCCCUCUCUACGACACAGGGUAGGCUGUGCUGCAGGGUCCUUCCCGCACCUGCCCCCACCCCCACUUCCAUCCCAGCUGGGGCAAGAGCUCAUGGCGAGAAGGGGCCCACCUCUUCCAUCCCAGAGCCUCCGGGCCCCCGCUCCGUGCCUGGCAUCUGCGGGUCUCCCAGCCAACAUGUCCCAAAUUAAGUCCACAGCCAGGUAGGGGUGAGGGGAAACGGGGAGGGCAGAGGUGGGAAGAGGACCCGCCCAGCCCUGGGAAUAGAUCCACGGUUUAGACUAAGGGUAAGAGCUCAGAUGAGAACCAGGACAGACCCAUUGUGGGCCAAGGGUGUCCAUCUCCUGAGGGCGGGACCCGGCAUAGGGGGCUCUGUGCUUUUGUACCUGCGCCCUCCCAAAGGCCUAGGAGAGCACCAGGCCGGCGUGGGGUGGGGGGUGGAAACACAGAGAACACCAAAUGAUGAGCAAGAACACAGCAUGGAAUGACCCGGAAGGCCAGGACUGUGUACCUGGGGCACCUGUCUCCAGGUCUGUCUCUGGGCCUGAGGAACCUGCCGUAGGUCAAUAAUCAGACUCAUAGAAGGAGCACCGUGGACGGGGAGCUCAUCACUGGGCUAUUCCCAGAGUGCUGCCCAAGGAGCUGAGAGAGGGUCAAAGGGGUUCUCAGGGAGUGUUUAGAGGACUCAGAGGACUGCUAGACCCGGGUGCCUGGGGAACUCAGCGGUUAAGCAUUGGCCUUCAACUCAAGU